Molecule: ribosomal RNA, 460 nt
Filed under: uncultured bacterium
Lineage: Bacteria
Description: partial 16S ribosomal RNA
Rfam family: Bacterial small subunit ribosomal RNA
Source: RNAcentral
CCUACGGGUGGCAGCAGUGAGGAAUAUUGGUCAAUGGGCGUAAGCCUGAACCAGCCAAGUCGCGUGAGGGAUGAAGGUUCUAUGGAUCGUAAACCUCUUUUAUAAAGGAAUAAAGUGAGGCACGUGUGCCUUUUUGUAUGUACUUUAUGAAUAAGGAUCGGCUAAUUCCGUGCCAGCAGCCGCGGUAAUACGGAGGUUACGAGCGUUAUCCGGAUUUAUUGGGUUUAAAGGGAGCGUAGAUGGGUUGUUAAGUCAGUUGUGAAAGUUUGCGGCUCAACCAUAGAAUUGCAAUUGGUACUGGCAGCCGUGAGUACAGUUAAGGUAUGCGGAAUUCGUGGUGUAGCGGUGAAAUGCUUAGAUAUCACGAAGAACUCCGAUUGCGAAGGCAGCCUACUAAACUGCCACUGACAUUGAUGCUCGAAAGUGUGGGUAUCAAACAGGAUUAGAUACCCUUGUAGUC